Molecule: non-coding RNA, 477 nt
Organism: Hydra vulgaris (swiftwater hydra)
Lineage: Eukaryota; Metazoa; Cnidaria; Hydrozoa; Anthoathecata; Hydridae
Source: RefSeq, a predicted model, not a curated record
UAAUCCGGAUCUUCACUUCACUGUGGCUCACUUCUACCUCCUUCUUCUAAUGAAAAAUCAAAAAAAAUAAGAGAUCAUCAUUCAACGCGUUCGAUUGGACCCGUUCGAUUGGACCCGCUCGAUUGGACCCGGAAACGUCUCUCCUCUCAUCCAGACUUUAAUUGGUUGAGGUCUAAAUCGUGUCGACAAUUUGAGGUGCUCGAUCGUUUGUUCGUGUCUGGAUUCGAUAAUCAGAAUGGAGGAUAUUCGUUCUGGAACGGAUAAAACAACAGAUACAAAAUGCAUGCAUGUGUGAAUGAAGUGAAUGAGACCCUUGGAAUUUUUUUUCCUCAUUUCUGAGGUUUUUUUUGUAUACGUAUGAGACCUUUGUGAAGUAUGAGAAAGUAUGAGACCCGUGAACUUUUUUUCCUCAUUUCGGAAUGAGGUUUUUUUUAUAUACGUAUGAGAAUGAGACCCUUGUGAUAAUCAAUUUUUUUU